Molecule: ribosomal RNA, 497 nt
Filed under: uncultured bacterium
Lineage: Bacteria
Description: partial 16S ribosomal RNA
Rfam family: Bacterial small subunit ribosomal RNA
Source: RNAcentral
GAUGAACGCUGGCGGCGUGCCUAAUACAUGCAAGUCGAGCGAACGGACGAGAAGCUUGCUUCUCUGAUGUUAGCGGCGGACGGGUGAGUAACACGUGGAUAACCUACCUAUAAGACUGGGAUAACUUCGGGAAACCGGAGCUAAUACCGGAUGAUAUUUUGAACCGCAUGGUUCAAAAGUGAAAGACGGUCUUGCUGUCACUUAUAGAUGGAUCCGCGCUGCAUUAGCUAGUUGGUAAGGUAACGGCUUACCAAGGCAACGAUGCAUAGCCGACCUGACAGGGUGAUCGGCCACACUGGAACUGAGACACGGUCCAGACUCCUACGGGAGGCAGCAGUAGGGAAUCUUCCGCAAUGGGCGAAAGCCUGACGGAGCAACGCCGCGUGAGUGAUGAAGGUCUUCGGAUCGUAAAACUCGGUUAUUAGGGAAGAACAUAUGUGUAAGUAACUGUGCACAUCUUGACGGUACCUAAUCAGAAAGCCACGGCUAACUACGUG